RNAcentral lists this long non-coding RNA (1654 nucleotides) under Nicotiana benthamiana. RNAcentral describes it as "long non-coding RNA (NBEN_LNC028396)". Lineage: Eukaryota; Viridiplantae; Streptophyta; Magnoliopsida; Solanales; Solanaceae. The record is from RNAcentral.
CAAUGGGAUUAAUAGAAGAAACAUAAAAUAUUGCAUACAAGGUAUCUGAUGAAUUGCGUAAAUGAGAUUUUUAAUAGGCUCUGUGAAGUCUGAGUCCAAUGGUAUUAUGAACUUAUCUUGAGGGUGUGGCCAUUUAAGUCUGUUGCGCGUCACUUACAUUCGCUUUGGAUAAAAGUGGAACAGUGGCCGACAUAGGCACAGAAGUGUAAUGCCUUUGUCCUGGGAUUUUUUAUGAGUUACGUGUGCAGCCCGUAGAUUAUAUACACGAUAAAUGUCUGUCUAUAGUUGAGGAACCAUUUGGAGCUGGUGAGCUGGUUGUGGGCGUCGCUAAUACUGGACCUAUGCGGGCUAGAAAGGAUGAGCUGAUAAAUGCAGCUGAUACAUCUAGUGUCACUUUGGAGGACCUAUCAACAUUGAGAACCGAUGGUCUAGGCCGGUCCUCACCGCAACCAGGGUUACUUUCAGGGAGCUUCUGAAACCCACUCUACUUUUGAGCUUUAUUUUGUUUUUUAUGAUCUUGUGUAACUGAGGAUAGUACACAUCCUUAAGUGCGGGGUGGGGAUGUUAGAAUUAUAAUUGUACAAUUGUAGUUAGCUAUUUUAUAUUGGCUUAAUCCUGAGUUUUUUUAAACCACGAUUCUUUCUCGAGAAUGCCAAUUUUCUUUUAACCGGAUAGUAGUUUUUUUAGGUAGAAUUUUCAAAAAUUUUGGACUUUUCUCGACUAUAGAUUUCUUUGACAAUUUUCUUGAGGGAAAGAAGUUAAAAUAAAAUACAAAAAGGUUUUCCUUCUCUUUUAGAAAUGAUAAUGGAAUGAGAAGAACUUGAGUAUCUAUUUUUCUUGACAUGGUUUAUAUCGGGACUUAGAGCUAUAACAUUUGAAUUGAUUAUCUUCUUCAUAUUCAAUGUGUCCACAUGUAUCGAGAAUAUAUGUGACUUUCUUUUGACGCUUAAGUUCAUUUGUCGACUCUUGUGAUUACUUUCCAUAUGUUGAGUUAAUAUGAUGGUUAUGCUUUGUUGUUUAACUUGCAUAUCAGGUCUGAACCAUUCGUAGUGAAUCAUAUGUAUUGCGUAAUGUGAGGCUUGAUUACAUUCUAUGCUAUCUUGUGUUAGUUUAGAACUUAUCCCAUGUGUUAGUCAAAACAAAAUAAGUAAGCUUUGUAAGUCUUGGAGAGGAUGUAGGUGUUUCUUUGAUUGUCUAUUAAGCUAGUAUGCCGUUGUAAAUAAAUUGAUCCUUAGAUAGCCCAUUUAAGCCUAUUAAUCGUUUCUUUGGUAUCCACAUUACAAGCCGAUUUUCUUUUUGUUCUUAAUUAGAUCUUCUGAACCUUUACCUCCGAAAGCACUUAAGUCGCUAGAAGAGUAUGGUGAGAGUUGAGGUAGCUUUUGAGUGGAACCACAGAAAGGCCAAAAUGUGCACGUAUAUUUAGAAAGAUCAUUAGCCGGGUAAUCCAAGUGGAGAAUGUUGGGGAAAAAAGAGAAACCCAGAUGCUCCGGUAUGGAGGUUUGGGCAUCUUGUUGUGGAGGGCACGAAAAGAGGUAGAGGGAAACCUAAGAAGUAUUGGGGAGAGGUGAUCAGGCAGGAAAUUGCGAGGCUUCAGAUUUUCGAGGACAUGACACUUGAUAGGAAGAUGUGGAAGGUGGAGUAUUAGGGUUGUAGG